GCUCAGAUUGAACGCUGGCGGCAUGCUUUACACAUGCAAGUCGAACGGCAGCGGGGGCUUCGGCCUGCCGGCGAGUGGCGAACGGGUGAGUAAUGCAUCGGAACGUGCCCAUGUCGUGGGGGAUAACGUAUCGAAAGGUACGCUAAUACCGCAUACGUCCUGAGGGAGAAAGCGGGGGAUCUUCGGACCUCGCGCGAUUGGAGCGGCCGAUGUCGGAUUAGCUAGUAGGUGAGGUAAAGGCUCACCUAGGCGACGAUCCGUAGCGGGUCUGAGAGGAUGAUCCGCCACACUGGGACUGAGACACGGCCCAGACUCCUACGGGAGGCAGCAGUGGGGAAUUUUGGACAAUGGGCGCAAGCCUGAUCCAGCCAUGCCGCGUGAGUGAAGAAGGCCUUCGGGUUGUAAAGCUCUUUCGGCCGGGAAGAAAUCGUGGUCUCUAACAUAGGCCAUGGAUGACGGUAC
RNAcentral lists this ribosomal RNA (462 nucleotides) under bacterium enrichment culture DGGE gel band A32. Its description in RNAcentral is "bacterial SSU rRNA". It matches the Rfam family "Bacterial small subunit ribosomal RNA", at positions 22 to 478 of the family's 1533-position model. The record is from RNAcentral.